RNAcentral lists this ribosomal RNA (395 nucleotides) under uncultured bacterium. RNAcentral describes it as "partial 16S ribosomal RNA". It matches the Rfam family "Bacterial small subunit ribosomal RNA", at positions 523 to 918 of the family's 1533-position model. The record is from RNAcentral.
AUACGUAGGGUGCAAGCGUUAAUCGGAAUUACUGGGCGUAAAGCGUGCGCAGGCGGUUUUUUAAGUCAGUGGUGAAAUCCCCCGGGUCAAACUGGGAGCUGUCAUUGGGACUUCCAGGAUGGUGUUCGGUAGAGGGGGUUGGGAUUACGCUUGUGAUGGUGAAAUGCGUAGAUAUUCUGAGGAACACCGGUGGCGAAGGCCAUCCCCCGAGCCAGCACAGACGCUCAUACACGAAAGCGUGGGGAGCAAACAGGCUUAGAUUCCCUUGUAGUACACGCCCUAAACGAUGUCAACUGGUUGGUUGGUAUUUAUUUUCGCAGUAACGAAGCAAACGCGUGAAUUUGACCGCCUGGGGAGUCCGGCCGCAAGGUUAAAACUCAAAGGAAUUGACGGGG